This 70-nucleotide microRNA precursor is filed under the name Nomascus leucogenys (northern white-cheeked gibbon). RNAcentral's name for it is "miRNA (ENSNLEG00000035111.1)". The record is from RNAcentral. Lineage: Eukaryota; Metazoa; Chordata; Mammalia; Primates; Hylobatidae.
UGAACGAAAGAGCCAGUGUUGAGACAGUGAGUUGAUUACUUCUCACUGUUUCACCACUGGCUCUGGUUCA